Molecule: transfer RNA, 773 nt
Filed under: Synechococcus sp. UW95
Lineage: Bacteria; Bacillati; Cyanobacteriota; Cyanophyceae; Synechococcales; Synechococcaceae
Description: 16S-23S ribosomal RNA intergenic spacer
Rfam family: tRNA (bases 268-340)
Source: RNAcentral
CAGGGAGACAACACAAUGAUUUUGAUGCCUGAGUACUUUUAUUCUUAGGCCGAAAUCCUGUCACCUUAGGUCGAUCGGUACCUCAGCUUUGAAGUUAAGAGUCAGCAGCAAUGUUGAUUGCUUGAUGGAGAUUUUCAGUUCCUAAACUUUGUCUAGGUCACACCCCAAAAGGGAUGAGACUCCUGGGCCAUUAGCUCAGGUGGUUAGAGCGCACCCCUGAUAAGGGUGAGGUCCCUGGUUCAAGUCCAGGAUGGCCCAUUCGGUGUUGGGGGUUUAGCUCAGUUGGUAGAGCGCCUGCUUUGCAAGCAGGAUGUCAGGAGUUCGAGUCUCCUAACCUCCACUGACCGAACUUUAUCCCCGCUCCAUGCAAUGGAGUUGAGCUCGAUUGGAGUGUGAUUUAGAUGUGUCCGCUGGAUGACCCCAGCUUCCUGUCAUUCCAAGUUUUAGGUUAAAAGCCUUGAAUUUGGUUGAUAAGAUGCUGGGCUCGGAUCAAAUGAUCAAGCAAUUGAUGAUUUGAUUUGAAGUUCUAGCAGAACCUUGACAACUGCAUAGGUGAAGUCUGGAAAAACAAAGCAUCUUACAGAUGCAUUGUUUUGAGUCUGAUCUUCUGAAAGGAAGAUUAGAACCAGAACAAUGAAAAUUCUUUUGAGCAAGAGCCGAGACUCUUGAGCGUUCUUUGAUUCGUGUCGAGCGAAUCAGAGUUUGAUCUUGUUUUUAGCAAUAAAAACUUGAGAAUCUGCUUUCAACGGCGGUAAGCGUUCAGGAGGUUAAUU